RNA transcript from Chiroxiphia lanceolata (lance-tailed manakin), 4927 nucleotides. It is a transcript of the gene named tectonic family member 1, with no coding region annotated. The record is from RefSeq and is a predicted model, not a curated record. The transcript is spliced from 16 exons. NCBI's taxonomy places the organism in Eukaryota, Metazoa, Chordata, Aves, Passeriformes, Pipridae.
UUGCUAAGGGCGGCCGCCAUGGCGGCGCCCGGGAGCGCGGCUUUCCCCGUCCUCAUCCUUCUCUUCAUCCUCCUCCUCCUACUCCCGCCGCCGCUCCGGGCAGCGGAGCCGAGCGAGGAGCCCGCAGACACUCGCGGUGCCGCCCAGGCGCGGGCCCACUGCGCGCCGGCCCCGGUCACGGACGUUGCCAGGCUGUGUGUGUGUGACCUGCUGGUGGCACAGUGUGAUGUCAACUGCUGCUGUGACCCCGACUGCAGCCCGGAGGAGUUCAGCCUCUUCACUGCCUGUUCAGUCCCUGUGGUCAUAGGUGACAGCCACCUGUGCAGGCAGAAAGCUGCUGUAUAUUCUCUUGAUGUUGAAGCAAACCCACCAGAAAGGAUAUUUCAAUUAAUUGACCAAGUCAACCCCAGUAUUUUCUGCAUUCAUGCUACAAACUAUAAACAAGCACUUUACCUCAGGUCCCCUGAAAUGCCAACUCCAGAAAAUUUUGAUGAUUUGCUUAAUGAGUUUGGGAGUGCUGCUUUCAGUGCUGAGCCUGAGAGCUGGAAUAUGGACACAGAUGCUCCAGACCCUCCUGAUGCAAAUGAAACUCAGAGAUAUGAGUAUGGAGUUCCUAUACAGACAGAGGAUGCAUUUCUGAGACUGCCAAGUCCUGUCGUCUCCUCCUGGUGCUCUGAUGCCAAUCCUGCAGGGUUUUUAGUAAACCAGGCCACAAAAUGCAUCAGAUCAGUAAGUGUGGAGAAAUGUGAAAGCAUUCAAGCACUUAAUAUGCUGUUCUACAUCAACUCCAGCAUUUUGGCAGUGCCCAAAUCAAGUCAGAUGGUUAAUAUUUCUGUCCAGUCCAUAGUUGUCCAGUCCCUGGAUGGAAUGAGGACUUUACUGAAGGGUGCUGAUGUCCUGAGGCUCCCCAUGAUCUUGGAUGAACUGUGCUUAAAUAUAGUCCUUGGGGUGAGUUAUCACAUUACCUACACAGACACAGGAGAAAUAAUAGAAGCAGCUGCUGCUUUUGUCUUGGGGGCAAUUACCAAAGAAGCACUUUCAAUCCAGCAGAGCUUCCAAAUCAGCUUCACUCAGGUAGACACAAAGCCAGUUCCUCUCAGUGGCAACCCUGGUUACGUUGUCGGGCUGCCUGUGAGAGCAGGAUUCUGGCCUCAAGGAUCUGGCAUCACUCAGAGCACCAACAAACACAGCCAGCUCUCCAUCCUGCAGAGCACAUCCACCCAGGACUGCCUGGCAGCACAGGGAGCCAGAGCCCCCGUGUUAUUUGGUUAUAACAUGAUCUCAGGCUGUAAGUUACGAAUUACAGCAGCUAUGAAAUGCCAGCCUUUGGCUCAGACCCUCCUGGAUGUACUGAAGGGCCAAAACUUUCCUGAGUAUGUGGCCUCAUUUGGGAAUUCCCAAGCCCAGGAUGUGCUUGACUGGGUGCCAAUAACUCACCUCCACAUCUCAGAACAGAGCUCGUGCCAAAUUCCAGUGUCCUUUGGAAUAGAAGUGAAGUGGACUAAAUAUGGAUCUCUGGUCAAUCCCCAAGCCAGGAUAGUGAAUGUUACAGCAACACUCACCACCACCACACUGAAGCAGCUUCCCUCAGGAAGGGAAAGGACUAUUCCUGUAACAAGUUCUGUUGUUUUCACUGACAUUUCCUCACCUGCAGAGCCAGGCUAUAAAGCUUGGCCCACCAUUAACAUCAAGUUACCCUUUGAUUUUUUCUAUCCAUUUGUCUAAGCUCCCCAGGUUCCCACAGAUCUUCCCACUGCUGCAGGAAAGCAGGACAACCUGGCUAAAGGAAGUAGGACAGAGAGAAACAUCACUUGUUGGAGGAGGAGCAGCUCAGGGAACUUGGGUAGGGCACCCCACACUUUCCAGUGAGGAAACCAUUCCAACAGUGCCAGCCUUGCACAAGGAUCCCAGGCAGCAAGAAAGAUCCAGGGUGAGACAAGGACAUUUCCUGCAGCAUCCCUGGAGGGGAUGGAGGAGUAGCAGCAGAGUAUUAAAUCCUAUUCUGCUGUAGGAGCAGAUGCAGGAAGACAGGGGCUCCCCUGUUAAAACAUUGCCAGAAGGAUCCUACAGUGGAAACUUAGGAUGUGAGCCAUCCUUCUCCAGGAUGGACAGCCGGGGUGUGUGGCAGGCAGUGGUGCUGGGAAACUGGUCCAGGAGGUGUGAAGAGGAAUAGGUUAUGAAGUUUUUUAGGGGGAAUGUCUAUCCCUGCUCCAAAGAAAUUGCAGCCUGACUCUGGCCACACUCCAGCAAGGAAAACCACAGGGGUGGAACUCCGAGUUCACUGGGAGAGCAGGACCAGGGGUCUCACAGAUGGGUGUGAGGAGAGAACAAAGACACGAGCCCAGGUAAUUCAGGGGAGGUGACAAAUCCAGCCCCUGGCCCAGGACACCCCCUCACCCACCGUUGAUGAUCCGGGCCACCCUCCAGAGCCGCAGCAGGAUCAGGAGCCCCACGGCCUCGAACUCGUGCUCCUGGAAGAUGAGGACGACGUCGAGCACGAAGGACACGACCACGACCACCCCGUCCAGCACCUCAAACUUGUGGUGGAAGAACUCGCGGCGAUACACGAACACCUUGAACCCCACCUCGACCAGGAAGAUGGUUAAAAUGGACAGGGAGAGGUAGUGGAAAACCUGGGAAAAGGCAGCACAAGUUGAAGGUAGGAAGCGGGAAACCCCCCUGUGUGCACAUGAGCAGGGCAGGAUGGAAAACCUCCACUGCUUGAGGGCACAUCUGGUUGGGCUCUACAGGGAGAAGGGCUGGGGACUUUUCUUCUGCUCUAAGGGACAAGAGUAUGUGGCAGCCUGUGGUGCUGGGGAACUGGUCCAGGAGCUGUGAAGAGGAGCAGGAGGAGGGUGGUGGGAGUGGUCCAGCUCUGCUGCAGCCCAAGGGAACCUGAAGCUGCUGCAGGGACUGGCAUGAGCCGAGCCAGGUCAGCCCCACACACCCCUGUGAGCCCCUCCUUUGUGUGCUGGGACCAUCAGGACAGCAGGGCUGGAGCUCCAGGUCCUGCCUUGCCCAGCCAGCCUAUCCAGGGGAGGCUCUGAGCCACCAAAGGGAGGGAAAUCACUGUUCAUGGUGACAUUUCCCCACACUUUACCUUUGGGGUUAUGUUAUAUUUGUCCGGAUGGAUGAUUUUCAAGUCCAUGAGCAAUUCCCCAAGAACCAACAAGGCAUCCAGGAUCACCAGCCAGACAACCCCGAUCUGUCAGAGGAGAAGAAGCAACAUGAAUCCCCUCCCAGCACAGACCACAAGAGGAGCCAUUGUGGCCCUUACAGCUGAACACACCCCAACAUCCACAGCCCUGAUUCAGCUGGUUGUGUUUCAUGGAGCUUUCCACUGCUCCCACUCCCCCUGGAUGGUGGGUUAUUCCUGCAAAGUCCCACCCCCAUGAAACCACCUGGCUCCCCAUAAACCCAACCACCUCCCAGCCCGUAAUGUGGGGAGCUCGAGACAGGGGGAGCACGUGCCAGUGCCGCAGUGACCCAGAGGCACCGGGGCCUGUCCCCGCUCAGGAAACACCUGCACCCACGGGAGCAGCUCAGCUCAGCUCCCACAGCACAGCUCAGCCGGGGGCUCACGAGCUCAGCCCUGAGCUCCAUCCCACACCCGCCCUUGGCCUGGGCUUGUUCUGCCUCACCUGAAACCUGUGGGAGCUGAAGAGCUUUUUCAUCAUGUCCUGGAAGGAGAUCUGUCUCCUGGCAGGCUCCACCUUGAUCUCCGAGUCCUGCUGCUUGUCCCCAUUGUCCUCCUCCUCCUCCCAUUUCUGGUAGUCGUUGCUCCACUGCACAGGGUCAUCGCCCACAACCGUGAAGUGCUUCAGGUACCUGGACAUGGCUCUGGGUCAAGCUGGCAUCACCCUGCCAACUGAGGGACAAGAGCAGAGCGUCAACUCCCCACUCAGGGCAGACCAAAGAUGCCAAAUCUCCCGGUUUCACCCCAGGGAGGGGACAGGACCGUGACCGGCUGACGGGAAGUUGCUAAACGCUGGGACCGCAGGUUUUGCAUCACCUCCCCCUCCCCCGGCACCACGAGGAGCCCCCGCCACCCUCCCCAGCCCUGUUUGUGCCCCAUCUGCUGCUCCACAACGAGGAACUUCCUCACGAGUUUUUUCCAAACUUCUCCAAACAAAGUAUCGAUUACAGGAGCAAAAAAGCACCAGCCCUUAGCUGGCACCUUGUGAUGCAGGUGGAGGCAGCUGCCCUUGUGUUUCUGUUGGACACUGAUCCAUGGAGGCUGUUGAUCAGAAGCCAAGGGGAAAAACAGCCAUGGUUUCCCUUCUUUAACAUCAGGGACCCCUGUUAUUUCAGCCUUUGCAGGUAAAUGAAACAGGUGAUCCCCACGUUUCAGCCUGGCCGGUGGGUGACACCGACCUCCCCAUCUCCUCUCCCUGCAUCCUCCAGAGCCGACCUCACCCUUGGGCAUCCCAGUUUCAGCCCAUUCCUGUGGACACCCUGUGAGGGGCAAGACCACCAAACCCAACUCCUAAUCAUUAAGGCCACACUCCAGCAAUGAAAACCACACGGAUGAAACACCGAGUUCGCUGGGAGUGCAAGACCCGGGGGUCUCACAGAUGGGCUGAAGGGCUGCAGGAGAGGCUCCUGUGUUCCCAUCGCAGCUCCCCCAGCCCUCCUUCCUCUUUGGGCAACCCGGCGAGACUGUGUGGCCCACAAACCCUCCGAGACGCGCUCCCGCCCCAGCACAACCCUCAUCCCCACCCCGCUCCCGUCCUUUCCCGGAGCCUCCUGGGGGGCUCAGCACAACCUCCCCCGGCCCAGCCCGUGCUCCGGGGCUGCUCGCCCUGCCCUCGGCUCCCGCUGGGCUCCGCUCCCAGCGGCGGUGGUGCCGGAGGGCGGGUGGGCUGCGGCCACCCCGUCACCUGCCGUGAGGACGGGAGAUGGUCCCUCGGUGCCGCCACAGGGGCAG